UUGCUUUUGCUCUUGCUCUUGCUUGGAGCUGGGGCCGGAACCUCAGCAGUAGUUGGUGCAGCAACAGGAGCCGGAGGAGAGGCCGAGCUCUCUGGUGGAGUCGUCGGUGCAGCAACGGGAGGCGAUUUGGCUGGAGGAGAGCUCACAGGUACUGGAGCAGGUGGAGAACUCACCGGAGCAGCAGCCGGAGGAGAAGAAGCCGGAGCAGAUUUAGAUGGGGCUGGAACCGCCGCAGACUUCUCCGGAGCCGCAGCCGGUGGUGAAGAAGUUGGUGGGGAAGUGGUAGGGGCAGCAGUUGGAGCCGGUGAUUUAGGUUUGCUAACAGGGGCAGUAGCGGGAGCAGUAGCAGGAGUAGCCGCGGCCGGCGGAGCUUUAGUAGGUGAGGCUGCCGGAGAUUGACCACCGACAGCGGUUACCACAAAGCAAAUCAAAGCAACUGCAAAUGCACUUCUACGAUCCAUUUCUUGAAGACAGAGGGAGAGUGAAGUAGUAACAGAAACUAAUGACAACGAGACGACAGACUCUCAAUAAAUAUAUAAAUAAAUGAGGGAGAGAAUCAGAAAAAAUGAUGAUUAUAAAAAGAAAAGAAGAAAAAGUUAGGAACGUGUUUGGAUCAGAAAUAGCCGUUGGAUGAGAAGCUAUUUCGGGGCCCACCGUCAUCAAAUUGUAAUGUGGCGAUCAAGACUCGACAGUCUGGAUUGGGGCCCACAUACAUGAACCAUGUAAUUUGUUGUUACAUUACCUGAUUAGGGUAAACUACACCCAAGGUCACUGAAGUAUUAAUAAAUUUACAUUUCAGUCGUUUAACUUUAAAAAGUUACAAAAUAGUCACUAAAUCAUUCGGAAGUUUUUAUUUAAUUCAUUGAGAUAUUAAAUCUCUGUUAUAUGGCUUUCUUUAUUCACACGGCCUACACCAAUCAAAAGAUCUUAUUCUCCUUCUCUUCAACAAUUUAAUUAUUUUCAUAGAAUAAUUUUGAAUGUUAUGAAUUUACGAAUCAAAAUUCAAACAGUUUUCUUUUUCAAUCUCUUACAAGGUAUGUUCUUCUACUCUUUGAUAGGUACUAAUCCAUUGUAUCAAUCGUCAUAAAAAAAUACUUAACAAUUCAAUGACUUAAAUAAAUACUUUCAAAUAAUUUAGUGACCAUGUUGUAACUUUUUAAAGUUAAGUGACCAAAAUAUGAAUUUACUAAUAAUUUAGUGACCUUAGGUGUAGUUUACCCUACUAAUUAAUAUUAUAAUAAAUGUUUAAUUCUAUCCCCAACCUCUGUACUCUUUGGGGUUUUAAAAUUUAGCCUUCCUACUUUUGAUUUUAAAAAUUUAGUUUCUCUUCAUUUUUAUUUAAAAGUCCAAUUCAUGAAAACUUGGUUAAAUUUUAAUAUUCGAAGCUUUGAUCUAAAAAUAAUAAUAUAUAUUUAAAUUGAAUGGAAAUGUUAUUAAUUAAAUUUUAAUUUUUAAAUCAAGCAGGAGAGAUAGGGAAUUAAAAUUUAAAAUUAAAAUUUAAAAGCUGAAAGAGUAAAGGGGUUGGAAAAAAUUAAACCUACAAUAACUAAUUGAAUGAUACAAUUGUUAUGAAGUAGUGAGACAGCUGGACGUAGGGAGAGUGGGGUAUUGCUGCGCAAAGAGACAAACCAAUAGGAGGCGGCCGCGUGACCGGGUAAAGCAGUUACGGGUGAUAUUUUGAGAUGGGUCACCGACUCACCGGCAAGAAACUGUGUCUCUGCAAGCAAAACUUGUCUGGAAUAACGUGACGUGUAUUAUACUUAAACACCCUAACCUUUUCUCUUUUCGUUAAAAAUUGUCAAGUGGCUAAGGCUUUUUUUUUUAUCAUCUAUAUAUUAGAGUUUUAAAAAAAGUUUUGCAAAAUAGUUGAGUUGUGUAAUUAUUUCACCUCCACCCUUUGGCCUCUCUCGGUACAUUAUUAUGUAAAAGUGAGUAUUCCACUGAAUCGAUUAAAAAAUUUUGAGUUAAUUGAGUUAACGAGUUUUAUUUUAUCAUUCUAACUCGAUUUAAUUUUUUUUCAAAUUGAAUUGAGUAAAAUAAAAUUCGAGUCGAUUCGAAUGAAAUUGUUUGAGUUAAAUUAAAAAAUUAAACAUGUUAAAUUAAAAUCUUGUUAUACUAUAUAGAGGUGCUCAUGGGCCGGGCGGCCCGGCCCGGCCCGACGGCCCGCCCGAAAUAUGGGAGGGUUUGGGUAAAAAUAUAGGCCCGAAAUAUGGGCUUGGGCAAAAAAAUGAUGCCCGAUUUAAAAACGGGCCGGGCCUCGGGCACAACUUUUUUGGCCCGGGCCCGGCCCGGCCCGGCCCGAAUAUAAUAAAUAUUUUUAUUAUUUUUAAUUUUAAAAUACUUUUAAAAUACUUUUAUUAAAUUUUUUAAAUUUUUAAAUUUUUUUAAAAUACUUUUUAAAUUUUUUUUAAUUUUAAAAUAUUUUUAAAAUACUUUUUUUAAUUUUUAUUUUAAUUUUUAAAAUAAUUUUUUGGUAAUUAUUUAAAAAACGGGCCGGGCCGGGCCCAGGCUUAUGAUUUUUUUCCCAGGCUGGGCCUGGGCAAAAUUCUAGGCCCAUAUUUUGGGUCGGGCCAAAAAAAAUUUUUGGGCCCGGCCCGGCCCAGCCCAUGAGCACCUCUAAUACUAUAACUAAUUCCAUGUUAUAACACAUAAAUUUGAAACCAUAUAUAUUUGAAAACUUUUUCAAAGCAGAAUAAAAAAAUUACUUUAGUAUGAUAAACUUGAAUCAUUAAUUAACUUAUUUAGGUCCCAAAAUUAUUAUUCUAGAAAAUUUUUAAUAUUUUAACUUUCUUUAUAUUUUUUUAGAUUUUUUUUUGAAAUUUUUAUAAUUUUUAAAAAGUAUAAAUUUGGAAUUUUUAUAAAUAUUUUGAAAUUUUAAAAUUAUUUUGUAAUUUUUAUUGAGAGAGUGGUCAAUUUGUUCAUUUUCAAACUUGGCAGAGACCAAAAAGGUAUUUAUACCAAUAUGUUAUUCGAAUUAUUCGAGUUAUUUUAAUUGUAAAAUUCAACUCGAUUCGAACUCGAAACUCGAAUUACUUACUCGAGUUGACUUGAAUAAUUCAAAUAACUCGAUUCAAUUAACUCAAAAUUUAAUUUUUUUCGGAUUAAAUUGAAUUUUGCUCACUCCUAUUAUUUUGCACAGCAUCACAAUAUAGAUUUUUCGGUUUUAAAAUAUCGCCGAUCUAUAUUCUUCUUCAAUGCUAUAAAGCUCGACCCUUCCACAAUCAUUAUCUAUACAUCAUCAUCAUACAUUGUAUGAAUCGUAGAAUAUAUUACUGGAUUGUCAUAUAUAAUAAAUUUAUAUCUAUUCAUCAUCAUCAUACAUUAUACAAAAAUAUAUAAUAUGUCAAUUUACUACAUUCAUGAUAUGGAUUGAAAGAUAAAAAUUACACAAAUAAAAAUUACAUUUACUAAAAAUAAUGAUAUUUUCAAUAAUUAUUUGAUUUUAUAAAUAAAAGAGUUAUUAAUUAAAAUGAUAAAUAAAAAAUAAAAAAAACUUGAAAACAAUAUAUUUAUUAAUUAUAAAUAUUAAUUAAAAAUAAUAAAAAAGUUGAAAUAAAAAAUACAUAUUAAAAUUCUUAUAAAAGGAAUCAAACUUAGGACUGAAAGAAGAAAUCACAAUUAUCUAACCAUCUAACCAAAAGAGCUAAUGUGUCAAAAAUAUUAAUUUAAAAAAAAACUUAAAAUAACAUGAAAUAAAAAUUACAAAAGUGAAUAGGAGAGGAAUUGAACCUAAGACUUAAGACUAAAAACACUAACACUUAACCAUCUGAUCAAAAGAGCUAAGUUGUCAAUUUGUGAAAACAUGACACAUGUUCAGCUGACGUAGCUAAAAAUAUGCCCUAUAAGACGCAUUUUCAAUGACAUAGACAGUGAAAAUGCACCAUGUAAGACGUGCUUUCCUUUCUCUCUUCAAAACAACAUUGAUAAAUUUAAAAAAAACAACAUAGAUAAUUAAAUGUAGAUUUUUUUUUUCAGCAUAAAUGGAUAAAUCAACCUGGUAUAUAUUAAAUUAAUUAUAUUAUCUUAAUUAUUUAUUUGACUGAGUCUUAUUAAUGAAUGCCAAAUAUUAUAUAUUAUUAAUUAAUAUUUGCCUUCUGUUUCGAGCAAAUAAGAAAGCUUCAUAUUGGCCAUUUACACGCACACACGCAUAUAUAUCAUAGUGUAUUAUGAAUAUUCCAAGUGAAGGGAAUUUGCAUGCUUUUGGCUUUGGGUUGAUGGGAAAACGACAAAAACACCAAUAUUAACCAAUAAAAUUAAAAGCUUUAGAAUUAAGGACGAAUCACGCUUGAAAGUAGGCAUUGGGUCUAAUACAGUUUGUAUACAUUUGAUGCUUCAAAUAAUGCAUUUUGAAAGUUUGCUGCUUGGGCUUACAUUUUACAGGGUUUUGUUGUAGAGAAAAAGAGAAUUUUUAAUUUGUAGAGUCCUCUUGUGAAGUGCUUCUUCUGAUACGUGGCAAUUGUGAAUGUAAGAAGUUUCAUACAUGUAAGUCUGUCUGGUGUUUGCAGCCGGGGGAGAAGACGAUAGGAACCAAUGAAUAACGUCUCUCCUGGUUUAUGCCCCCAUGCCUAAUUAUUUUUUACUCAAAACUGUUCUUUCAGAUUAAACUAAAUAUUCAGAUUGAUUUGUAAGAUAUGCAUUUGCUGCCAUUUUAAGCUUUCCUGUACUUUCAUUGGAACAUUGUCUAACCAAACAACUCCUUUUUUCCCUGUAAUGGUUCAUGAGCUAUAUAUGAUCGUUUCAGUUUUGUUACUUUUACAAUGUUUAACCUGCACAAAUGAUCUUGGGAUUCAUUAGCAUUGGUAUUAGUAAAAUAAAUUGUGAUUUUAUUAAAAUAUAAUAGAGAAAUAAAAGACAGAAAAUGGGUAAAUGAAGGGGAAAAAAAAAAAGAAUGGGGGAAAUUACAUAGGAAAAAAGAACUAGAGUUUCCGCCUCUCAAUACACCAACCAAAGAAUUACAACGCAGAAUGUGGAAUGUGAUCAAAAUCAAUCUAGAAGCUCAAAGCAAUGGCUGCCCAUCCCAACGCCAACCCUCCAAUUAUCUUCUUCAUGUUCUUCAUUGCCUCUGCUCCACUCUGCAUUUGUUUAUAAUAACUCUUUAAAUGUUACAAAUAAAUAUAGUUUUAAGAUGAAAAAAAGAUCCAUUGGUCGGUCCUUUUUCAGAAAAGUAAAUGAACUAGCUCAACGGUGCAUCCUUUAGACGCGAUUAAAAGAAAAACAAGAUCUCUCUACAUUUAUGCAGUGUAAAAGUUCAGAUCUGAAAGCGCAUUGUUAUAUGAUGUAAGCUACUGAAGCGUUAGUAAAGCGAAGAGAAUGUACCUCAUCGGCAGCGACAGAUGGACCGGGAGAGGAAGCAUCGAGGCUAGGUCCAGGAGCUCCAGUUGGUGGAGCGGGAGGUCCAAGCAUAUCAGGUGAAGGAGCCGGAGCAUGGUGUUUCUUGGAUUUCUUGCUUUUGCUCUUGCUCUUGCUUGGAGCUGGGGCGGGAACCUCAGCAGUAGUUGGUGCCGCAACAAGAGCCGGAGGAGAGGCCGAGCUCUCUGGUGGAGUCGUCGGUGCAGCAACGGGAGGCGAUUUGGCUGGAGGAGAGCUCACAGGUACUGGAGCCGGUGGAGAACUCACCGGAGCAGCAGCCGGAGGAGAAGAAGCCGGAGCAGAUUUAGAUGGGGCUGGAACCGCCGCAGACUUCUCCGGAGCCGCAGCCGGUGGUGAAGAAGUUGGUGGGGAAGUGGUAGGGGCAGCAGUUGGAGCCGGUGAUUUAGGUUUGCUAACAGGGGCAGUAGCGGGAGCAGUGGCAGGAGUAGUCGCGGCCGGCGGAGCUUUAGUAGGUGAGGCUGCCGGAGAUUGACCACCGACAGCGGUCACCACAAAGCAAAUCAAAGCAACGGCAAAUGCACUUCUACGAUCCAUUUCUUGAAGACAGAGGGAGAGUGAAGUAGUAACAGAAACUAAUGACAACGGGACGACAGACUCUCAAU
This 5972-nucleotide long non-coding RNA is filed under the name Gossypium raimondii (Peruvian cotton). Its description in RNAcentral is "long non-coding RNA (GRAI_LNC006257)". Lineage: Eukaryota; Viridiplantae; Streptophyta; Magnoliopsida; Malvales; Malvaceae. The record is from RNAcentral.